UGAGGAAUAUUGGUCAAUGGCCGGAAGGCUGAACCAGCCAAGUCGCGUGAGGGAAUAAGGCCCUACGGGUCGUAAACCUCUUUUGUCAGGGAGCAAGGCCGCCCACGUGUGGACGGAAGGAGAGUACCUGGAGAAAAAGCAUCGGCUAACUCCGUGCC
RNAcentral lists this ribosomal RNA (158 nucleotides) under uncultured bacterium. RNAcentral describes it as "partial 16S ribosomal RNA". It matches the Rfam family "Bacterial small subunit ribosomal RNA", at positions 355 to 509 of the family's 1533-position model. The record is from RNAcentral.